RNAcentral lists this ribosomal RNA (519 nucleotides) under uncultured eukaryote. Its description in RNAcentral is "partial 18S ribosomal RNA". The stretch from base 21 to 309 matches the Rfam family "Eukaryotic small subunit ribosomal RNA", at positions 1182 to 1497 of the family's 1831-position model. The record is from RNAcentral.
GGCCACCACCCGGGGGGCAGGCUGCUUAUUUUUUUGCCUCACCACGGAAAAACUCCCCCGCGCCCCCACACAGGGAGGGUCGACAGACUGAGAGCUCUUUCUUACUUCGGUGGCGGGCGGGGCAUGGCCGCUCUUAGUUGAACGAUCUUUUUGUCUGGUUAAUUUCAAUAACGAAACACAGUCUGGUCUAUUAAAUAGAGUGUGUAUGUACAAUCGUAUCCCACUUCUCACAGCGCCAAGCUGUGUCUCGCCGCACAAAAUAAAAAAAUAACUGGGAUGCGUUUGACUUAUAGGGGCGGCGCUGGCGGCGCGCGAUAAACAAAGAAAGCGCUUGACCUAUUCCGGAACCGCCGGGAAAGCCGAGCAAACACAACCCUGAUUGGUGCUGCGGUAGAGGGAUUAGUUUCUAUUUUACGAUGAAUUACGAGUACCUGCGGGAUGUAGGGGCAUCGUCUAGUAUUGAUUGUCCAUUGCCCUUCUUUCCGCCCACCCUACCGAACGACUGACUGAAUGAGUUCU